AGGGUUUGAAAACAUAUGUUGUAGUAUUGUAUGUAUUUUUAGGGUUAGAUUUUGGAAAGCUUAAAUAGUUUUUUGAAAAAGUAAAAAUUUUACAUGUAUAUGUUUAUUUCUUUGUAUAAUAAACAUCUUUUAAGUUUAAUUUGAUUUUAAAAAGUGCUAAGUUAGUUAAUUUAGUUUAGGAAGUCGUCUAGAAAAUUUCCAUGGGCUUAGUUAGUGGACCAAUUUUACAAAUAAUCUCUCAUGGAUUUAUUAGCGUUCCUCCGAAGCGGUGGCUGCUACAAGAAUGGAAUAUUCCAAAGCAUUCGCUUCUUCAAAAGUUUGAAGAAGAUUUUAUGAAGAUUUUUUUUCUUAUUCUCUCAAGAGUCGAAGUGGAAACACUAGCAUGUAAUAAUUAUAUGUCCUGAAUAAUCGACCCGUUUGCCAAGCAGUCGGCCAAACCGUACAUAAUAUUCCCGCCUAAAAUUGUAAGAAAAUUUUAUUUUCCCGCUUCAAUAUUAAUUUUUCCAGAACUUUAAAAAAAAAAAAAUUUUGCAUGAUAAAUAUUUAGCUUUACUGUAUUAAAAUGCAAAACCCCUAAUCUCAUAAAAAAUAAUUCUCUCUCUCAGAGCGUCUCCCUCUUCAUCUCAUUUUCUCAUGAACACUUUUCUUCUCAUAAUCUUCUAUAGCUUUCUUCCAUGGGUUUAACCUAUCCUGGGGACUCACUGAUGAUAAGAGCAGCAUGAACUCAAGAUCCGACUCAAGAUCUCUCACGCCGGGCCACCUCUCUCACGCUUGGAGGAAGCAAGACAAGAUGAGGCCGGAACCACACCACUACGGGAGAUGAAGGAUUGAGAAGAAGCUUGAUGGUUAAGGAGACAAGGCCAGCCGUGGUCGCUGUGGUGGUGGUGGUACACCGAGUGUUGCGCUCCUGCCAAAUGGCAUAAAUCGCAGCUUGCCAUGCUUGCAGAAGAGCAAUUCUAAGAACAAGAUCAGGGGAGGCAGAGGCAACCAAUAAUAAUUCUUAAAAAGUUCAGAGCCUUUGAGCGCAUCUUUAGCAGUCUUGGUUGUUCAUUCUUGAUAGGAAUCCAACACUCAGCAAAAUCAAACUUCGGUAUAUUCUCUUGGAAUUGCUUGAAGAGUCAAGAAAUCACUUAUUUUUUA
Molecule: long non-coding RNA, 1140 nt
Organism: Brassica napus (rape)
Lineage: Eukaryota; Viridiplantae; Streptophyta; Magnoliopsida; Brassicales; Brassicaceae
Exons: 3
Source: RefSeq, a predicted model, not a curated record